AACGAACGCUGGCGGCAUGCCUAACACAUGCAAGUCGAACGAGACCUUCGGGUCUAGUGGCGCACGGGUGCGUAACGCGUGGGAACCUGCCCUUAGGUUCGGAAUAACUCCCCGAAAGGGGUGCUAAUACCGGAUAAUGUCUUCGGACCAAAGAUUUAUCGCCCUUGGAUGGGCCCGCGUUGGAUUAGCUAGUUGGUAGGGUAAAAGCCUACCAAGGCGACGAUCCAUAGCUGGUCUGAGAGGAUGAGCAGCCACACUGAGACUGAGACACGGCCCAGACUCCUACGGGAGGCAGCAGUGGGGAAUAUUGGACAAUGGGCGAAAGCCUGAUCCAGCAAUGCCGCGUGAGUGAUGAAGGCCUUAGGGUUGUAAAGCUCUUUUACCCGGGAUGAUAAUGACAGUACCGGGAGAAUAAGCUCCGGCUAACUCCGUG
Molecule: ribosomal RNA, 433 nt
Filed under: uncultured bacterium
Lineage: Bacteria
Description: partial 16S ribosomal RNA
Rfam family: Bacterial small subunit ribosomal RNA
Source: RNAcentral